This is a long non-coding RNA of Equus caballus (horse), 2004 nucleotides long. Lineage: Eukaryota; Metazoa; Chordata; Mammalia; Perissodactyla; Equidae. The record is from Ensembl.
GAGUCUUUCAAGGCAUUCAGCUUAGUUUCAUAAAACAACUCUGCUUUCACAGCCGUAUUUUAUUGGUUUAUUAAUAUUAAAUUGAAUCACAGAAUUACAAAACCGAGUAUCACUGCCAUAAAUAGGUUUGGGAAUAAGCACUUGUUUCUGGGAAAGCAGAUGGGUUAACUGGAAGCGAUGUAUGUGGGUAUUCUAAGGAACAUCCUGCCAGACAGGGGUGUUCAGCCCACAGUUUAUGGAGAGCAUGGCAAGCGUGGCUGUUCCGAGAGGGCUCGUUCGGUGCUGGUGGAACAGAGAGCUCAGGCUGUGGUGUGGCUUCCACCACCCUGCAAACUAAGUCCCAUUCACUCCUCCAUCCCCUUUCAACCUUACAGAAAUGUGCUGAACUCUCUCAUCCGUCAAUGACCCCUGCCUCUCUUCCUGUCCUCUGGGUUUAUAUCUUCUCUUUUCCUUACUGUCAUUUUAAGGGGAGGGGGUGUCGAGAGGGAGAAAAGAUGAGCAUUAAAGUUCAAGCUGCCAUUUGUAUCCAGACAAUUCUCUCUUAUUUAAGACUCCCAACAGCCAGUGAGUGUCAGAGCCUAUUAUUAUCCCCACAAAGGUCACACAGCUGUAAGUGACAGAAGCAAGUUUCAAACUCAGGUCUGUCAGAGGCUGUAGUGGAUGCUGUGGUGCUUUGCCCAGAUCCCCUCUCAGGGUCAACACACCAUCGGCCAGCUGCUGGGGCGUUGGUUGCUGGUGGCUCCCUGGAAAUUGCCCUUGGCUGUAGGAACUGCCUCGCCCUGGCGGAAGUCUUUCCUCUGGAGAUCACCGUGGCCCGUGACUGGCUGAUGCAGGGAUAUGAAAGCCCAACCCUACUCCCUCAAUUUGGGACAAUUCUCAGGGGCCCUCCCAGCUCCAAAGCUCCUUGUGGGCUGGACUUCUGUAAAGAGAAACAUCCUCUCGUAAACGAUUUGGAUCCUCUAAGGUGAGGAAAUGAGGACAUAGAGGCUCAGAGGGUCAGAUGACUUACUGAAGAUGUCAAAUUAACGAGAGUGUGGUGAUCUGCAUUCAGUCUGUCUGGCUAUUUUUUUUCUCAGAGAGAGAGAACUUCCAGCUGCAGUGGAUCAGUUUAAUUCAUGUUAUUUGUUGAGUGCCCUCUGUGUGCUGAGUGCUGUGCUGUCUCCUAUAAAACGUCUCCAACAUUCCUCUUCCUCUUCCCCAGGCUGAGACUACCUUUAUUUCCCCAGCAAUUCCAAUUCUGUCUAGUCUUUAAGGUUCAGCUUUAGCCUGCUCCCUUCAGGAAGUUUGCCCUGAUUACCCCAGGAAUCCCUUCUUUCUGAACCUCUCUUGAGUGCCCCUCAAUUCCAGGAAAGAGUGUGCAGGAAAGAGUGAGAGGCAGAGUGGAUCCUUUUGUUUACCCCCAGGAAUUGACAAUAAGUUUAUAGCUUAGAAAAAGGACACAAAGUCCCCACAUUUUAAAGAGACUGACCAGGAGUCAGGGUGGCCUUCUUCUGGCUGAGAGGCUCCUGGUUAAAAAAACCAGCCCCACUCUGACCUCUUCCCCCUAGAAGAGGAGGAUUGCGAGAGGGAAAAGCUGUUUUUCAUCUCGUUUCCUUGGGGGAGACAAAGGAUUUACCCUCCCUGAGACAAGGCCCCAAGGAAAGGACGGAUUGACAUUUUGUUUCUCCGUUUAACUACCUGGCCUUGCUCUGGUGUAGCAGCAGAAACGCAGAGGAGACAGGGAGUUAUUUGGCCAGAUAAAUGGGGCAAGGACAGCCCUCAUACCAGUUCAGGUCUUGAAUUCCUCACAGUCCUCUGAGUAGAGAUGCAUAGAGAUUAGGGACCUCAUGCAGUGACGGGCAUCAGGAGAAUGAGUUGUGAGACCAUGAUGGGGGUGUCAGCCCAGGAUGAGGCAAAUCUCAGUGGGGAUCACCAGUAUGUAGUGGAGCUGCUUGGAGAGGGCCCUCAUCAGCAGAGUUUGUGAGAGCCUCUCCACCACCCAUAAGGAGCCCAUAGACAACAAAC